GGCCUGGCUGGGCGGUCCGCCUUCCGGGUGAGUACUGCCUGUGGUCGGGUCCUACCUUCUGGCGAAGCGUCAUGGCCUUAACCGGCCGUGGCGGGGAACCAGGACUUUUACUGUGAAAAAAUUAGAGUGUUCAAAGCAGGCACGCGCUUGAAUACAUUAGCAUGGAAUAAUGGAAUAGGACAGUGGUUCUAUUUGUUGGUUUCUAGGACCGUUGUA
Molecule: ribosomal RNA, 216 nt
Filed under: uncultured Glomeromycotina
Lineage: Eukaryota; Fungi; Glomeromycota
Description: partial small subunit ribosomal RNA
Rfam family: Eukaryotic small subunit ribosomal RNA (bases 94-216)
Source: RNAcentral